Molecule: ribosomal RNA, 293 nt
Filed under: uncultured bacterium
Lineage: Bacteria
Description: partial 16S ribosomal RNA
Rfam family: Bacterial small subunit ribosomal RNA
Source: RNAcentral
GGAUUAGAUACCCUGGUAGUCCACGCCGUAAACGAUGUCUACUAGCAGCUCGUCUCGUUUAGAGAGGUUUUGCGCAGCUAACGCGUUAAGUAGACCGCCUGGGGAGUACGGCCGCAAGGUUAAAACUCAAAUGAAUUGACGGGGGCCCGCACAAGCGGUGGAGCAUGUGGUUUAAUUCGAUGCAACGCGAAGAACCUUACCAUCCCUUGACAUCCAGAGAAGUUUCUAGAGAUAGAUUCGUGCCUUCGGGAACUCUGAGACAGGUGCUGCAUGGCUGUCGUCAGCUCGUGCCG